This 472-nucleotide ribosomal RNA is filed under the name uncultured bacterium. RNAcentral's name for it is "bacterial SSU rRNA". It matches the Rfam family "Bacterial small subunit ribosomal RNA", at positions 33 to 507 of the family's 1533-position model. The record is from RNAcentral.
ACACGCUGGCGGCGUGCCUAACACAUGCAAGUCGAGCGGGGUUGAAGCGAGGGGUAACUCGGACUUCUACCUAGCGGCGGACGGGUGAGUAACGCGUGGGCAACCUGCCUCAAGGUUUGGGAUAACAGCUCGAAAGGGCUGCUAAUACCGGAUAUGCCUGUGGCCUCGCAUGGGGCUAUGAGCAAAGGGGAAACCCGCCUUGAGAUGGGCCCGCGUCCCAUCAGCUAGUUGGUGAGGUGAAGGCUCACCAAGGCGACGACGGGUAGCCGGCCUGAGAGGGUGACCGGCCACACUGGGACUGAGACACGGCCCAGACUCCUACGGGGGGCAGCAGUGGGGGAUCUUGCACAAUGGGCGAAAGCCUGAUGCAGCGACGCCGCGUGAGCGAAGAAGGCCUUCGGGUUGUAAAGCUCUGUCUGGAGGGACGAAACAAAUGACGGUACCUCCGGAGGAAGCCACGGCUAACUACGUG